GACAGAGGGUGCAAACGUUGUUCGGAAUUACUGGGCGUAAAGCGCGUGUAGGCGGCUCGGCAGGUCGGGUGUGAAAGCCCUGGGCUUAACCUAGGAAGUGCACUCGAAACUGCCAAGCUUGAGUUCUGGAGAGGAAGGCGGAAUUCUCGGUGUAGAGGUGAAAUUCGUAGAUAUCGAGAGGAACACCGGUGGCGAAGGCGGCCUUCUGGACAGCAACUGACGCUGAGACGCGAAAGCGUGGGGAGCAAACAGG
Molecule: ribosomal RNA, 253 nt
Filed under: uncultured bacterium
Lineage: Bacteria
Description: partial 16S ribosomal RNA
Rfam family: Bacterial small subunit ribosomal RNA
Source: RNAcentral